CGCAUCUGUGCAUGCAGCAUAUCAAUAAGCGGAGGAAAAGAAACUAACAAGGAUUCCCCUAGUAACGGCGAGUGAAGCGGGAAGAGCUCAAAUUUGAAAUCUUAAAGGGUUUCCCUUUACGAAUUGUAGUUUAAAGAAGUGUUUUCUGUUGAGGUUUUGGUAAAAGUUCUUUGGAAUAGGACAUCAUAGAGGGUGAGAAUCCCGUAUUUGACCUUUACUUUCAACUUUGUGAUACACUUUCAAAGAGUCGGAUUGUUUGGGAAUGCAGUCCAAAAUGGGUGGUAAAUUUCAUCUAAAGCUAAAUAUUGGCGAGAGACCGAUAGCGAACAAGUACCGUGAGGGAAAGAUGAAAAGAACUUUGAAAAGAGAGUUAAACAGUACGUGAAAUUGUCAAAAGGGAAGCGUUUGACACCAGUGUUGUUUUUCUGAAAAUCAAUUAAAGAACUGUUUAUGCUAAGUUGUUUAGACUUUAUCAGCUAACUGUUUAGUUUUGAGCUUUUCUUUAAUGCACUUUUCAGUUAACAAGUCAACAUCAAUUUCUUUUGCUGUAAAAAAGCUUGAGGAAGAGUGGCUUGAGAUUCGUCUUAAGUGUUUAUAGCCUCUUGCCUAUGCAGUCGGAGAGAUUGAGGUCUGCAGCGUAGAUCCUUCGGGGCUAAAUGCAUUUGUGCUAAGUUAUAACAUUUUAUAGACAACUUGUUGACUAUGAUUUGUCUUGUAGCUUACUCGCUUAUGUUAUUUUACCUACGCUUAGGAUGUUGACAGCAGUAUAGACUGU
RNAcentral lists this ribosomal RNA (775 nucleotides) under uncultured Neocallimastigales. Its description in RNAcentral is "partial large subunit ribosomal RNA". It matches the Rfam family "Eukaryotic large subunit ribosomal RNA", at positions 26 to 637 of the family's 3401-position model. The record is from RNAcentral. Lineage: Eukaryota; Fungi; Neocallimastigomycota; Neocallimastigomycetes; Neocallimastigales.